Gossypium arboreum is the source of this 1753-nucleotide RNA transcript. It is a transcript of the gene named trihelix transcription factor ENAP1, with no coding region annotated. NCBI's taxonomy places the organism in Eukaryota, Viridiplantae, Streptophyta, Magnoliopsida, Malvales, Malvaceae. The transcript is spliced from 3 exons. The record is from RefSeq and is a predicted model, not a curated record.
ACAACUUCAGAAGGGAUGCAUAUAUUGAUUUUCGAUUUUUCAUUAUCAAAAUUUAAUUUAGAUAUUAAAGUAGUAGUUUCUAGGCUUUAGCUCUUUGAACCCAAGUAAGGCCCAAAAUCAAAUAAUUGAAAUGGCCAAAUUCGGGUUACUUUUAAUUACCCUCAACCCUCAUCCCCAAAUCUCGAAAGCGUCCGAACCCUAGAAUUUUCAAUUGAGGGUUCGUUCUUCCCACGAAGGCUUAAUCUUCUUUCUUUUCUGAACUCCAAUUCUCAAUUUCCCAAAACCCACAACUCUAAAAGAAGGAAACCCUAAAGAGGAAGAUGGAUGGUAUUGAACCCUACUCUUUUAAUCGCCAUCCGCAAUACCCUCGUUCAACCAGAACUCGCCAUGUAUACAGUUACGGACCAGACGAAGAGCUCGACGAUGAAGAAGAAAUGGAACUAGAUAACGAAGAUGUAGAUGACGAUAACGACGACGACCCAGAUGUUUAUUACCACCGCGUCAAAGAAAGCGAGCGUUUUGAAAGGUACCCAAAGCGUCAAAAGGUGAGAACAUCAGUCCCUAGCUUCCAAUAUGCACCUGACCAUAGAGAUAGCUUAAAAAAUGCCUAUGAUUGGACCCAACAGGAGAUUUAUGUUCUGUUAGAGGUUUGGGGGAAUAGGUUUUUGCAAUUAGGGCGGAGGAGUUUGAGGGGUGAAGAUUGGGUUGAUAUAGCUGAGAAAGUUAGUGAUGCUUUGAAAAGUGUGAAAAAUGAAGCUCAGUGUAGGCGUAUGAUUGAUGGGUUGAAGAGGAAGUUUAAGAAAGAGAAGUCGAAAGCUGAGAGAAUGGGGUUGAAUUCGAGUAAAUGGGUGUUCUUUAGGAAAAUGGAGAUGUUAAUGGGGUUGGGUUCUUCUUCAUUUAGGCAACAAGAAUCAUGGUUGGCUUGUGGAGUUGAUUCCGGGGAGUUUGUGUUUAUGAAUCCGCAAGUUUAUUUGGAUAGGUCUAAUGGUUUCGAUGAGAUGAGGGAUAGUCCCGCAGAGUCGGAGAUAGAUGAUGAUGAUGAUGGAGAAGAAGCCGAUGGUGGGUCAAUGAAAGUGGAUGUGAACGAUGAACAUUCGUUGAGGAUGUUGGCUGAAUCAGUGCAGAGGUUCAGUAAGAUAUACGAGAAGAUUGAGAGUAGUAAAAGGGAGCAUAUGAAGGAGUUGGAGAAGAUGAGGAUGGAUUUUCAGAAGGAGUUGGAAGUACAAAAGAAGCAGAUUUUGGAGAAAGCACAAGCAGAGAUUGCUAAAAUGAAGGAAGAGGAUGAUGACGACGAUGACGAUGAUGACGAGACUGAUGAUGAUGAUGAUGGUGACGACAAUGGCGAUUCGACGGAAAAUAUCAGCGAAUAGGUUUCUUGCAUUCGAAGCUUUAUAAUGAAUGAUUGCGUCAAUCAGAAUGGGCAACGAGAAGUACGUUCAAUGGAGGAUCUUGUGCUCUCUACAUGGACUCGUAUACUUUCAAUAGGUUCAAUGCCAUGGAGAAUCGUGAAUGGGAGUUACAACAGACUUGAUUUGCAGAUACUGGUUAAGUGCAUCCAAACCAUAAUCUCUUCCAAACCCGCUCAUCUUGUACCCGCCAUAGGGGCAAUCCAUAUCGAACACAGUGUAACAGUUGAUCCACACGACCCCAGCACGGACCGAUCUCGAAACGGUGUUUGCCACGUUCAAGUCCUUCGUUAUAAUCCCAGCUGCUAGGCCAUAAGCCGUGUUGUUUGCCCUCUUAAUCCCCUCUU